AAGCGCUUGCAACCAGACUUGCACUUGGUCGAUCAUCCGGGGUUCUCCCCGGUGCACUCGAUCUCGUUCAGGCCAGCAUCGGUUUAGGUGGUGGGAUAAAGGCCUUGGGAAUGUAGCUUCUUUCGGGGAGUGUUAUAGCCC
This 141-nucleotide ribosomal RNA is filed under the name Fuscolachnum misellum. RNAcentral describes it as "partial large subunit ribosomal RNA". The record is from RNAcentral. Lineage: Eukaryota; Fungi; Ascomycota; Leotiomycetes; Helotiales; Hyphodiscaceae.